Molecule: transfer RNA, 78 nt
Filed under: Cupriavidus pampae
Lineage: Bacteria; Pseudomonadati; Pseudomonadota; Betaproteobacteria; Burkholderiales; Burkholderiaceae
Description: tRNA-Ile
Rfam family: tRNA
About the family: Transfer RNA (tRNA) molecules are approximately 80 nucleotides in length.
Source: RNAcentral
GGGCCUUUAGCUCAUGCCGGUUAGAGCAGCGGGCUCAUAACCCGUUGGUGCCACGUUCAACUCGUGGAAGGCCCACCA